RNAcentral lists this ribosomal RNA (478 nucleotides) under uncultured bacterium. Its description in RNAcentral is "partial 16S ribosomal RNA". It matches the Rfam family "Bacterial small subunit ribosomal RNA", at positions 28 to 523 of the family's 1533-position model. The record is from RNAcentral.
GACGAACGCUGGCGGCGUGCUUAACACAUGCAAGUCGAACGGUAAGGCCCUUCGGGGUACACGAGUGGCGAACGGGUGAGUAACACGUGGGUGAUCUGCCCUGCACUUCGGGAUAAGCCUGGGAAACUGGGUCUAAUACCGGAUAGGACUCCUGGCUUCAUGGUUGGGGGUGGAAAGCUUUUGCGGUGUGGGAGGGGCCCGCGGCCUAUCAGCUUGUUGGUGGGGUAAUGGCCUAACAAGGCGACGACGGGUAGCCGGCCUGAGAGGGUGACCGGUCACACUGGGACUGAGAUACGGCCCAGACUCCUACGGGAGGCAGCAGUGGAGAAUAUUGCACAAUGGGCGCAAGCCUGAUGCAGCGACGCCGCGUGAGGGAUGACGGCCUUCGGGUUGUAAACCUCUUUCAGCUAUGACGAAGCGCAAGUGACGGUAGUAGCAGAAGAAGGACCGGCCAACUACGUGCCAGCCGCCGCAGUAA